Gambusia affinis (western mosquitofish) is the source of this 935-nucleotide RNA transcript. It is a transcript of the gene named speckle type BTB/POZ protein, with no coding region annotated. The transcript has 4 exons. The record is from RefSeq and is a predicted model, not a curated record. Lineage: Eukaryota; Metazoa; Chordata; Actinopteri; Cyprinodontiformes; Poeciliidae.
CCGGGAGUAGUUUAUGUUGUCGAAAGCUGACGCAAGCUAGUUAAAUUAAUCUUAAAAUCACUUCAUACUGACGUUGUUGAGUACUACCCAAUGUGGGAGGAAACCCCAAGGCUGACCCAGAACUUCUUGUGAGUGCUGCAUCCCUUCUGGCCGGGAAACAUCCUGGAAUCCUCCAGGAGGAACAGAAGACUGUCACUGGGGGACGAGGAUGUCUGGGUCUCACCCCUUGAAAUGUUAUUUCUGCAUUGCCUUCAGAUCCGCGCGGAGAUAAAUGAGCCAGAUGUCUUCAAAGAGACGAUGUGCUUCAUCUACAGAAGCAAGACGCCCAACCUGCACAAGAUGGCCGAUGACCUGCUGGCUGCAGCUGACGAGGUGGACGAUUGGUUCAGGCCUUCUGGAUGGAGCAGAUGGCGACAGAGGGCCAGGAGGAGAUGACCUCUAACCUGGGAGCCAGACCCGACCCGAUCCACUGCGGGUUCCUGCAGCGAGUGUUAGCAUCAGGAUGAUUAAAAUAAUGCACUUUUGGGUUUGUUGUUUUAAAAAAGAAUCUAUUUCACUGUUUUAACUGGAUGAUACUGCAUGAGGUUAGUCCUCAGGACAUAAAUCAUUUAGCACAACAGUGUCCAAAAUGUGGCUCUGGGCCCAUUUGUGCACCUUGAAGUGAUUUAUUUUUUGGCGCUGAGCACAAAUCAAGAAUGGUAAAGUAUUUGGCCAACAAAAUAGAAAGCAACUGAUGAUCUAGAAACAUGAAGCAACAUUUAGCUUUAUAUUGUACAAAUCUAGAACUCAAACUAGAACAACUGGAACCAACAUCUAGUUUUAUACUUCACUAAUCUCCAAAUGUGGAGAACUAACAUUAAGUUUUAUCAGUCAAGAAUCCAGAGAAACCCCUACUAGUUUAUAAAUGAUCGACUACUUAUUCUUAUUCUUAUUAA